UAAUGGAGUACACAGAAGUGGAGGUGCGUGACUCCCCAAGCUAGGUCACUGAAGGCAUUGCAGCUUCAGCUCUGUUCUCUUGGAUGACUUGUUCUGGAGGAAGCUAGCUGCCUUGCUGUGAGGAUAAGCAGCUCUAUAAAGAGGUACAUAUGAAGAUGAACUGAGACUCCAGCCAAAGGCCCGAACUAAUUUGUUAGCAAAGUGAGUAAUCUACCUUGGAAGUGGAGAUCCAGCCCUAUUCAAGCCUUCAGAUAUUACAAAUGCCCAAGAGGCUCUGACCAUAGCUAGAUCAACUGAGCAGAAUUUCUGGUGUACAGAAACUAUGAGAAAUAAUAAAUGAUUAUCAUUUAAGCCACUAAAUUUUAGAGUGAUUUGUUUUAUAGCCAUACUAAAUGGAACAUUGAGAUUUCUUCAAAUUUUCAAAAAUUUUCUGCUCUCAGGGAUCAUCUUCUUUGAACAAGAGUGGGAAGAAAUAGACAGGGGUUGGAGGGGGUGCUCUGGCACCCGCGCAGCUGACCUUCUCUGCCCUAGGAGCACGGAAUGGCGACUCUGGAAUAUGUUUUCCUCUCUGACAAGAAGUGUGGCUCUGGACACCUGGGGAUUCAUGAUUAAUGAGAGUUCCAAUC
This 626-nucleotide long non-coding RNA is filed under the name Heterocephalus glaber (naked mole-rat). RNAcentral describes it as "lncRNA (ENSHGLG00100045753.1)". The record is from RNAcentral. Lineage: Eukaryota; Metazoa; Chordata; Mammalia; Rodentia; Bathyergidae.